This 332-nucleotide ribosomal RNA is filed under the name uncultured bacterium. RNAcentral's name for it is "bacterial SSU rRNA". It matches the Rfam family "Bacterial small subunit ribosomal RNA", at positions 568 to 898 of the family's 1533-position model. The record is from RNAcentral.
CGCGUAGACGGUUUUGUAAGUCAGAUGUGAAAUCCCUAGGGCUCAACCUGGGAACUGCAUUUGAGACUGCAUGGCUAGAGUAUGGAAGAGGGAAGUGGAAUUUCCGGUGUAGCGGUGAAAUGCGUAGAUAUCGGAAGGAACACCAGUGGCGAAAGCGACUUCCUGGUCCAAUACUGACGUUCAUGUGCGAAAGCGUGGGGAGCAAACAGGAUUAGAUACCCUGGUAGUCCACGCCAUAAACGAUGACAACUAGAUGUUGGGAGGGUCUGCCUCUCGGUGUCGCAGCUAACGCGUUAAGUUGUCCGCCUGGGGAGUACGGCCGCAAGGUUGAA